UUCAGAGCCUAUCUUUGAGAACUUUAUAUUAAAUGGAUUUUUGAAGAAGGGAGGUGGAAGAGGAGCUUGCUCCAUCCACUCCAUGCAUCAACCUGGUAUUUCAGUGUUUCCAGGAAUGGUGC
Molecule: small nuclear RNA, 122 nt
Organism: Chelonoidis abingdonii (Abingdon island giant tortoise)
Lineage: Eukaryota; Metazoa; Chordata; Testudines; Testudinidae
Gene: U2
Rfam family: U2 spliceosomal RNA
About the family: U2 is a small nuclear RNA (snRNA) component of the spliceosome (involved in pre-mRNA splicing). Complementary binding between U2 snRNA (in an area lying towards the 5' end but 3' to hairpin I) and the branchpoint sequence (BPS) of the intron results the bulging out of an unpaired adenosine, on the BPS, which initiates a nucleophilic attack at the intronic 5' splice site, thus starting the first of two transesterification reactions that mediate splicing.
Source: Ensembl